GGUAAUGUUCCUCGAUAACCAGUCUACCAAGUCAAGGCAGGGCUAGUUUAUUUAGAAAAUGAGAAUAGGAAAACGUCAGAUCAAUAAUUUCGAAACGUGUUAGCUGCGUGGUGAUUUCGAUUUAUUAAAAUUUCUAAUAUACAGAUUGUUACAAGUUCCGUUUAUAGUUAUUUGAAUAUUACCAACAGAAAAGUCGUAAGUUAGAUCAUUUUUAAUGUGAGUUGAAUUCUAUUUAAUAUUAUAUUUCUGUUCAGGCUAUAAAGGAGCAAAAACAACUCGUAUAAAUAAAUUUAUCGCUUUGCACGAGGUGAAGAAAACACUAAAUUAGUGAGUAUAUUUUCAACCUUUUAUCAACUGCUUAACUAACAGAAAUUGUAAUUUUAGUUUGAGCCGCAUUAAAAUAAUAAGUCGCUGCAAAUAAAAGUGUAUCUCUCAAAAGAUCCGAACAAACUCAAAUAAUUUACGGAUCUAACCUCAAAAUGAGCGAAACAUCCAACCUUACACUUACACCAUGCGCAGCCUGUUGCCAAACAUCCACAGUGAACGAGGAAAUGAUAUGUUGCGAUUCCUGUGACCAGUGGUAUCACACCCGUUGCGUGAGUGUAACAUCGUCAAAGGAUUACGAAGGCAAAAAAUGGUUCUGUCCGCAACCCGAAUGUAAGCGCAAACGUCGAGAAUAUCUUGCUCAGGAAACUGCUUCUAAAAAGUCAUCAGCAGAUCCGAGAAAAGGCUCCGCAACGGGUGAUAUUCCUGAAAAGUCCGGCACAAAGACUGGAACAAAGGCUGGAAGCAAAUCCGGAUCAUCCGGUUCCACUCUUUCGCAAACACUACAGCAGUUAGAGGAGGAACAAAGGGACCUUGAACGUGAAAUGGAUGAACAGAAGAUUAUUUCUGAAAAGCGCAUGCAGAUUGCCAAAUCCUUGAAAGAAAGAGAGCUUCAAAUGCAAAAGGAUAUUCGGGAAAGAGAGUUCCAGCAGGAACAAGAACUUCUGAGGAAAACACUCGAAGACGAAAAAAGGCAUUUGGAAAAUAUGCGAAAACUGCGGAACUCUUUCGAACAGGAAGUGGAUUCGGUAAGAAAGGAGAUUCUAUAUCUAAACGCUCAAAGUACGGCGCUAAAUGAAACCGAGCUUUUAGACCGACCGGCAGGGUCAGAUAGAUCACUACGUGUUGAACCAAAUAACUUACCAUCGAUAAGAGCGCUGAACCAAACUACGACCGUCAACAAGAUGCUUCCUGAUCAGGAGAGUGUAAGAGAUUCCGAGCAUUCAAAUAGCGAAUCCGAUGAGAGCAGCGGAAAGGAGGAUGACGAAACCCCAAGGCCAUACGGGUUGGGGCCUUCUCGACCAGGACCAUCACGUGCUCAACUUACAGCGAGGAACGGUCUAACGAAGAAGCUACCGAUAUUCACGGGCCGUCCUGAGGAAUGGCCUCUCUUUUCUAGUGCUUUUCAAGUGUCCACGGAAGCAUGUGGAUUCACAGAAGUCGAGAACCUCGUUAGGCUUCAGGAUAGCCUCAAGGGUCAGGCAUUAGAAAGCGUCAGGGGAAAGCUUCAUCUCCCUAAAUCUGUUCCAAAGAUCAUGGCAAAAUUGCGCAUGCUGUAUGGGCGGCCUGAAUUGAUUUUACAAAGCUAUUUGGAAAGAGUACGGAAAUUAGAAAACCCGAAAGCCGAUAAGUUAGCAUCUUACGUUCCUUUCACUAACGCAGUAGAGGAACUGUGUGAGCACUUAGAAGCAGCUGAACUCACACAACAUUUAAAUAAUCCCACUCUUAUGCAGGACUUAGUUAACAAGUUACCAGCAAACGAUAAGCGUGCUUGGGUCCGGUACAAAAAAAGGAAGUCGGAGGUAACCCUUCGAACGUUAACGGAUUUUUUAUCGAAGAUCGUUGAGGAAGCUUGCGAAGCCAGUGUUUCGUUGGAUUUCAAACUUGAAAGUCGACCCGCCCCCUGUAGUAAUACACCCAAAGCCAGAGGGAAGGAGAAGCAUGGUAUGUACACCCAUAUUAAUGUACCGGAUAAUUCGCUGUACGGUGUUAGUAACACUUCAGCAGUUGGAAAGAAGUCGUCAUUGAAGCCUUGUCGCGUAUGUCAACGCACGGAUCACCGUCUGAGAUUUUGCCAGGAUUUUAAACAGCUGAGCUAUAAUGAUCGGGUACAAUUGGUUGACAAAUGGAAACUGUGUAGAACGUGUUUGAAUGACCACGGAAAUGCUACUUGUAAAUUCAAAAUUAUCUGCAACGUGGGUGGUUGUCGAGCUACACAUAAUUCCCUGCUGCACCCCGCAGAUUCUGCUUUUCUAAACGCACAUUUCAAAGCUCCAACUGCUACUCUUUUCCGCAUGGUGCCAGUCACGCUCUACUCUGAACAACGCACUGUAAAAACUUUGGCAUUUUUGGACGAAGGAGCCGCGGUGACUUUGAUGGAAUCGAAUUUGGCCAAGUUACUUGGAGUGACGGGGCCGAUCCAGCCAUUAACGAUAUCCUGGACUGCCGAUGUGACCCGGGUAGAAAAAGAUUCAAUGUGUAUCAAUCUGUGGAUUUCAGAUCAACAAUCCACUGAAGUUUUACUAAUUCGAUCGAUUCAGACCGUCGACAAACUGAUGUUGCCGAAACAAUCGUUAAAUGCAAAUGAAGUUUCCAAAAGUUUCGAGCACUUAGAAGGCCUACCUAUUGUAUCCUAUAAAGGUGAAAGACCAGGACUGUUGAUAGGAUUGAACAAUCUCCAUUUAUUCUCUCCUAUUGAGUCGAAAAUAGGUCAGGAAGGACAACCUAUUGCUGUAAGGUCCAAGCUAGGUUGGGCAGUUUAUGGGCCAUCGAACCAUUUCCCUGAACAGAAUGGGUUUUUCGGAUAUCAUGCAAGGAUCAGUAAUGCGGAUAUCUACAACAUACUAAAAACAUCAUAUGCUUUGGAAGAGCCUAGUGCUAGUGUCGUAUGUGAAUCUGACGAUGAGAAGCGAGCGCGAGAAAUCUUAGAAUCCACCACGGUCCGGGUCGGAAACCGUUUUGAAACUGGACUUUUGUGGAGGUGUGAUGAUCCAGUUCUACCCAGCAGCUACGACAUGGCAAAAAAGAGGAUGAUUGCAUUGGAAAGAAAGUUGGCUAAAACUCCGGAGUUGUUCCAAAAUGUGUGUGACCAAAUCGAAGAAUAUCAGCGCAAAGGAUAUGCACACAAGGCGUCUGUGGAAGAAUUGGCCACCACAGGAAACAACAAAAUAUGGUAUCUUCCAAUCAACAUAGUGUUAAAUCCCAAAAAACCAAAUAAGGUCAGGCUGGUGUGGGACGCGGCUGCCUCUGUUGACGGUAUUUCGCUAAACUCGCAACUUCUCAAGGGUCCCGAUCUUUUGACUCCUCUUACCUCCGUCAUAUGUCAUUUCCGGGAGAAAAGAAUUGCCUUCGGUGGGGACAUCCGAGAGAUGUACCACCAAGUGCAAAUAAGAAGUUCGGACAAGCAAUUCCAAAGAUUUCUCUUCCGGACAAACCCAAGCUUACCACCUACCACAUACGUGAUGGACGUAGCCACUUUCGGGUCCGCGAGCUCGCCGUGCUCAGCCCAGUUCGUUAAGAACCUGAACGCCAAAGACUUCAUGAAACGAUUCCCUGAAGCUGCACGGGCGAUCAUCGAUAAACAUUAUGUCGACGAUUAUUACGACGCUGCUGACACAGAAGAUGAAGCGAUAAGACGAGCCGAAGAGGUAAAGUUUAUUCAUUCCCAGGGUGGUUUCCAUAUUACCAACUGGGUUUCAAAUUCAGAGCUUUUCCUGAAAUGUCUUGGAGCAGACAACGGCGAUCGAGAAAUUCAUUUCAACAGUGAUAAACUUACCGAAAAUGAAAGAGUGCUUGGAAUUAUUUGGAAUCCUCGACAAGAUGAGUUUUCGUUCUCCGUAAAAUACCGCGAAGAGCUGCAACCGUACAUUCUGGGAAAAAAGGUACCCACUAAGAGAAUUGUUCUGAGCUGUGUGAUGUCAUUUUUCGACCCUCAAGGAUUUUUGGCACCAUUUACAAUUCAUGGAAGAGCACUCAUCCAGGAUCUGUGGCGCACAGGGUGCGCAUGGGAUGACGAAAUUGAUGCUCAAAGUCUUUCCAAAUGGAACCGGUGGAUAGGCCUCAUUCCAGCUGUGGAAAGUGUUCGAGUUCCGAGGUGCUAUUUAGGAGGAAACCAUUCAAACAAAAUAGAAUCGUUGCAGUUGCACAUUUUUACAGACGCCAGUGAGCACGCCUACGGCUGUGUGGCGUAUUUUCGAAUAAAGUUUGGAAAAGACGUAAAAUGCUCUCUGGUUACUUCCCGGAUUAAGGUGGCACCGUUGAAAAUACAAUCCAUUCCGCGGUUGGAACUGAUGGCGGCCACAAAAGGAGCACAACUGCUAGAGUUCGUUGUUUCAAAUCACUCUUUACGCAUUGACAAAUGUUUCCUAUGGACAGAUUCACAAACGGUCUUAAGCUGGAUUCGUUCGGAUGAGCGGAAUUAUAACAAGUUCGUUGGGCUUCGCAUUGGCCAAAUAUUGGAAUCGACGAACGUAAUGGAUUGGAACUGGAUACCGUCCAAGUUGAAUAUCGCUGAUAGUCUCACCAAGUGGGGCCAAGGACCGCCUUUAGAAUCAGACGGAGUCUGGUUUAUGGGGCCACAUUUUCUCUACGAACCGGAAGCAGCAUGGCCACGACAGCAGCUGCCUGAGCCGAACACAACAGUUGAAUUGCGGCCAGCGCUGUUGCAUCACGAUAUCGUUUUCACGGAACCUUUGAUCGGUGUGGAAAAUUUCUCUCGCUGGACAAAAUUGGUAAGAGUUUUGGCUUUAGUUUGUCGAUAUGUAAACAAUUGUAAAAGAAAAGCUGAAGGCGAACCCAUAUUCACGCUGAAAGCAAACGAUACACUAUGCAAACUGAUAAAAUGUGAGAUGAAGGUUAUACAGCAGCCGUUACACAAAACUGAGUUUCAGCAAGCGGAAAAUAUCAUCUGGAAAAUAGCACAGAAAGAAGCAUUUCCUGAUGAAAUGAAAAUUUUGAUAAAAGCAAAUUCUAAGAAAGAUAACCAACAAAACCAUAUCGUAAAAUCAAGUUGUCUCUACAAAUUAAGUCCAUUUCUCGAUGAAGCAGGUGUCCUACGUAUGGGAGGACGAUUGAAUUCCGAUAAUCUACCCUUUGAUUUUCGCUACCCUAUAAUUUUGCCAAAACGAAACAAAAUUACCCAAUUGUUGAUUCUCAACAUUCAUUCCAAACUGGGUCACUCGCACAGAGAGACAGUAUACAGUGAACUACGAAAACAAUUUUAUAUACCGAACCUUCGAGCUGAAAUAUCACAGGUAAUGAAAAAUUGCAAUUGGUGCAGGGUGUAUCGUUGUAAACCAAAAGCUCCACAGAUGGCACCACUACCCGAACAACGAACAAGACCGAGUUUACGACCAUUCAGUGCAGUGGGUGUGGACUAUUUAGGACCAAUCGAAGUCACAGUAGGUCGUCGCAAGGAAAAAAGGUGGAUAUCACUGUUCACUUGUUUGGCAGUUCGUGCAAUACAUGUGGAGGUUGUACAUAGUUUGGACAGUAAAUCGUGCCUUAUGGCUCUCCGACGUUUUAUGUGCAAACAUGGAGUUCCUGAUGAGUUCUUCUCGGACAACGGAACCAAUUUUCGUGGAGCAAAUAGAGUGCUGAAUGAAAUCAAAGAAGAUAUCAAUUUGUCGUGUGCGGAAAAGGUAAACAGCUCAAAAACAGUGUGGCAUUUUAAUCCUCCUGGUACGCCCCAUAUGGGGGGCAUAUGGGAGCGUAUGGUUCGUUCCCUGAAAGAAGCUAUGAAAGCAUUAGACGAUGGUCGAAAGCUCGAUGACGAGAUUCUUCUCACAACAUUGGCAGAAGCGGUUGAUAUGAUUAACUGUCGCCCGUUGACGUACAUGCCACAGGAGUCGCCCUACGCUGUAGAAGACGGCCCUCUGACGCCAAACCACUUCAUGCGCGGUGUAGUCAAAGCUGAAGAUUAUGAUGUAGACGAGUCUGUGAGUUUUGCAAAUGCUCUGCGUAAUACGUAUAAAAGAUCGCAGUAUCUAGCAAACGAGAUGUGGAAGAGGUGGUACAAGGAGUACUUGCCAACCAUCAACUGUCGAACAAAGUGGUUUGAGAAAACCAAACCGAUCCAGAAGGACGACUUAGUUUUCAUCGUGAAUGACUCCAACCGGAAGAAAUGGAUUCGAGGAAUCGUCGAGCAGGUGAUACCAGGUGCAGAUGGACAAAUCCGGCAAGCGAUGGUGAGAACCAAUGGUGGAACGCAUAGGCGAGCGGUGACGAAUCUGGCGGUGUUGGAAAUCUGUUGCGGAAACUCUGGAUCACCAGGUGGAACCGAACCAGGAGUUACGGGUUGGGGAGUUGUCAACACCACUGGGUAAUGUUCCUCGAUAACCAGUCUACCAAGUCAAGGCAGGGCUAGUUUAUUUAGAAAAUGAGAAUAGGAAAACGUCAGAUCAAUAAUUUCGAAACGUGUUAGCUGCGUGGUGAUUUCGAUUUAUUAAAAUUUCUAAUAUACAGAUUGUUACAAGUUCCGUUUAUAGUUAUUUGAAUAUUACCAACAGAAAAGUCGCUAUAAAGGAGCAAAAACAACUCGUAUAAAUAAAUUUAUCGCUUUGCACGAGGUGAAGAAAACACUAAAUUAGUGAGUAUAUUUUCAACCUUUUAUCA
This is an RNA transcript of Uranotaenia lowii, 6657 nucleotides long. RefSeq lists it as uncharacterized. The record is from RefSeq and is a predicted model, not a curated record. The transcript is spliced from 2 exons. NCBI's taxonomy places the organism in Eukaryota, Metazoa, Arthropoda, Insecta, Diptera, Culicidae.